UGAGUGCUAAGUGUUAGAGGGUUUCCGCCCUUUAGUGUUGCNACUAACGCAUUAAGCACUCCGCCCUGGGGAGUACUGGCCGCAAGGCUGAAACUCAANGGAAUUGACGGGGGCCCGCACAAGCGGUGGANCAUGUGGUUUAAUUCGAAGCAACGCGAAGAACCUUACCAGGUCUUUGACAUCCUCUGACACUNCCUAGAGAUAAGGAAUUUCCCCUUCGGGGGUCAGAGUGACAGGUGGUGCAUGGUUGUCGUCAGCUCGUGUCGUGAGAUGUNGGGUUAAGUCCCGCAACGAGCGCAACCCUUGAUCUUAGUUGCCAGCAUUUAGUUGGGCACUCUAAGGUGACUGCCGGUGACAAACCGGAGGAAGGUGGGGAUGACGUCAAAUCAUCAUGCCCCUUAUGACCUGGGCUACACACGUGCUACAAUGGAUGGUACAAAGGGCAGCGAAGCCGCGAGGUGAAGCCAAUCCCACAAAACCAUUCCAAGUUCGGAUUGCAGGCUGCAACUCGCCUGCAUGAAUCCGGAAUCGCUAGUAAUCGCGGAUCAGCAU
RNAcentral lists this ribosomal RNA (552 nucleotides) under uncultured Caryophanales bacterium. RNAcentral's name for it is "bacterial SSU rRNA". It matches the Rfam family "Bacterial small subunit ribosomal RNA", at positions 810 to 1355 of the family's 1533-position model. The record is from RNAcentral. Lineage: Bacteria; Bacillati; Bacillota; Bacilli; Caryophanales.